AGGACCCGUCCUGAAACACGGACCAGGAGUCUAGCAUAUAUGCAAGUCAUCGAGUCAAUAUUUUUAGACUCAUAGGCGUAAUUAACGUAAAUGUAUAUAAUUUAUAAUAUAUAAAAUUUAAUUUUAUUAUUUUUUAUAUAAUUAUACUAAAAUGUAUUUAGGGAAGAUGAGUAGGAAUAUUGUAAGCUACUCCGCAUUCCCGGGGCGUUCCAUAUAAAUUUUAAUAUAAAUAUUUUUAUUUAUUUUAUAAUUUGGGGCGCACCAAGAGCAUAUACGCUGGGACCCGAAAGAUGGUGAACUAUGC
Molecule: ribosomal RNA, 304 nt
Filed under: Heteropaussus lujae
Lineage: Eukaryota; Metazoa; Arthropoda; Insecta; Coleoptera; Carabidae
Description: eukaryotic LSU rRNA
Rfam family: Eukaryotic large subunit ribosomal RNA
Source: RNAcentral